RNAcentral lists this ribosomal RNA (479 nucleotides) under uncultured bacterium. RNAcentral describes it as "bacterial SSU rRNA". It matches the Rfam family "Bacterial small subunit ribosomal RNA", at positions 330 to 801 of the family's 1533-position model. The record is from RNAcentral.
ACCGUACUCCUACGGGAGGCAGCAGUGGGGAAUUUUGGACAAUGGGGGCAACCCUGAUCCAGCAAUGCCGCGUGAGUGAAGAAGGCCUUCGGGUUGUAAAGCUCUUUUGUCAGGGAAGAAACGGUAGUAGCUAAUAUCUAUUACUAAUGACGGUACCUGAAGAAUAAGUACCGGCUAACUACGUGCCAGCAGCCGCGGUAAUAAGUAGGGUGCAAGCGUUAAUCGGAAUUACUGGGCGUAAAGCGUGCGCAGGCGGUUGUGUAAGUCAGAUGUGAACUCCCCGGGCUCAACCUGGGAAUUGCAUUAGAGACUGCAAGGAUAGAGUGUGUCAGAGGGGGGUAGAAUUCCACGUGUAGCAGUGAAAUGCGUAGAUAUGUGGAGGAAUACCGAUGGAGAAGGCAGCCCCCUGGGAUAACACUGACGCUCAUGCACGAAAGCGUGGGGAGCAAAAAGGAUUAGAAACCCCAGUAGUCCUUGAC